GAUGAACGCUGGCGGCGUGCCUAAUACAUGCAAGUCGAGCGAACGGACGAGAAGCUUGCUUCUCUGAUGUUAGCGGCGGACGGGUGAGUAACACGUGGAUACCCUACCUAUAAGACUGGGAUAACUUCGGGAAACCGGAGCUAAUACCGGAUGAUAUUUUGAACCGCAUGGUUCAAAGGUGAAAGACGGUCUUGCUGUCACUUAUAGAUGGAUCCGCGCUGCAUUAGCUAGUUGGUAAGGUAACGGCUUACCAAGGCUACGAUGCAUAGCCGACCUGAGAGGGUGAUCGGCCACACUGGAACUGAGACACGGUCCAGACUCCUACGGGAGGCAGCAGUAGGGAAUCUGCCGCAAUGGGCGAAAGCCUGACGGAGCAACGCCGCGUGAGUGAUGAAGGUCUUCGGAUCGUAAAACUCUGUUAUUAGGGAAGAACAUAUGUGUAAGUAACUGUGCACAGCUUGACGGUACCUAAUAAGAAAGCCACGGCUAACUACGUG
Molecule: ribosomal RNA, 497 nt
Filed under: uncultured bacterium
Lineage: Bacteria
Description: partial 16S ribosomal RNA
Rfam family: Bacterial small subunit ribosomal RNA
Source: RNAcentral